AAAAAAAAAAAAAAUUAAACCUCAAAGUUGUGCAAACAUUGCUCAGCAAAAGCCAGAACACUGAGGAACAAUCAGUACUACUUUAGGCACAAAUCCAAAGCACAGCACAAUAUGGACUGCUAUGAGAAAAAUGAACUCCAUCCCAGCUGGAUCCAGCACAAUCAUUUACGAGCUACAGUCCACAUUCCAGUAUUCUUGUGCCUGAAACAGCCAGCACCAUCUUCCAUGCAGUGACCAGAGUCAGUGAAAGUAACGUUCUACAAUACAGGAGGGUUUCAAGCCUCAGGAUGUGAUGCAUAGGGACUUCAUAAAAAUUCUGGACCAUCAUGAGACAGUCCAGGUGAUGGUAAGCCCCAUCUGAUAAGGACGACAGUGGCUUACACCAGAGUUUUGUGAAAUCUCAAAAUAGGCAAGAACACAAGGACAGUUGCUGUCACUUGGCUAGAACCUCAUUUUAAGUCUUUCAGCAUUAAAAGGUUUUCCUGAUAUAUAUUUGUGAAGUUCAUAAUGCAAGAAAAGGCACAGAAACUUCGGUAUAGGCCAAUGUCGUUUCAGCUGAAGAAUCCAUUAUUUCAGAGCUCCUGAGCUUCCAAGUGCUGACAAAGACAAGAUAUAGAGAAUAAUACAAAGGUGACAAACAUUCACAUACAAAAAUGAAUAAUGUCCGCACCUGAAAACUAAUACAUCUACUGGAUGAAAUAUGUGUGAGGUAGAAGUACUGGGGACAAAAAGUAGAGAGAGAAUGUGUACAGAUGCAUAUGAUGACGUCAGGCACAAGCUCUACAGGUCACUUUUGUUAUUUAGCAUUGUCUUUUCUUAAAUCUGCUUUGAGACACGCAAAGGAAAACCUGUAGAGAAGUUCUGAAUGGUGCACCUGUUUGCAGGAAGACAGAAAAAGAAUGGUCCAAACAAUGUGACGUUUCAUAGUUUGCUUCUAAAGAAUACAUCUGAUAUUUCCUAAUUCUUAAGUAAGUAUGGCAAAGACCCUUUCCCUAACUUUGAAAAGAGCAUGUGACAUUGUAAAGUCUUCAUUGUUACAGAUAUACACGUAUAUAAUAAAUAUACUUGUAUAUAGUAAA
Long non-coding RNA from Numida meleagris (helmeted guineafowl), 1079 nucleotides. RefSeq lists it as uncharacterized. NCBI's taxonomy places the organism in Eukaryota, Metazoa, Chordata, Aves, Galliformes, Numididae. The record is from RefSeq and is a predicted model, not a curated record. The transcript is spliced from 4 exons.